Molecule: ribosomal RNA, 417 nt
Filed under: uncultured eukaryote
Lineage: Eukaryota
Description: bacterial SSU rRNA
Rfam family: Eukaryotic small subunit ribosomal RNA
Source: RNAcentral
UAAUAGCGUAUAUUAAUGUUGUUGCAGUUAAAAGCUCGUAGUUGGAUUUUGGUGUUUGACAAACGGUCGGCCUUACGGUUGGUACUGUUUGUUGGCACUUCUUUUCUGGGGAACUCACUGUUCUUAAUUGAAGGGUGUUGUAACGCAGAUCGUUUACUUUGAAAAAUUAGAGUGUUCAAAGCAGGCCGUCGCAUUGAAUACAUUAGCAUGGAAUAAUGGAAUAGGACUUUGGUCUUAUUUUGUUGGUUUCUAAGGCCGAGGUAAUGAUUAAUAGGGAUAGUUGGGGGCGUUUAUAUUCCGUUGUCAGAGGUGAAAUUCUUGGAUUUACGGAAGAUAAACUACUGCGAAAGCAUUCGCCAAGGAUGUUUUCAUUAAUCAAGAACGAAAGUUAGGGGAUCGAAGAUGAUUAGAUACCAU